AUGCUGGCUUCCACAGCACAUACACUAAAAUUGGAAUGAUACAGAGAAGAUUAGCGUGGCCCAUG
This 65-nucleotide small nuclear RNA is filed under the name Canis lupus dingo (dingo). Lineage: Eukaryota; Metazoa; Chordata; Mammalia; Carnivora; Canidae. The record is from RNAcentral.